RNAcentral lists this transfer RNA (72 nucleotides) under Hordeum vulgare. RNAcentral describes it as "tRNA-OTHER". Lineage: Eukaryota; Viridiplantae; Streptophyta; Magnoliopsida; Poales; Poaceae. The record is from RNAcentral.
GGUGCAGUAGCAGAGUGGUUUAUAUGUGUGUGUGUUGUUCAGCAGGUCAUGGGUUCGAAGCCCCUCUGACCG